CCUACGGGAGGCAGCAGUGGGGAAUUUUCCGCAAUGGGCGAAAGCCUGACGGAGCAAUACCGCGUGAGGGAGGACGGCUCUUGGGUUGUAAACCUCUUUUCUCAGGGAAGAAGUUCUGACGGUACCUGAGGAAUCAGCAUCGGCUAACUCCGUGCCAGCAGCCGCGGUAAUACGGAGGAUGCAAGCGUUAUCCGGAAUGAUUGGGCGUAAAGCGUCCGCAGGUGGCACUCCAAGUCGGCUGUCAAAGGUCGGGGCUCAACUCCGAACAGGCAGUGGAAACUGGAGAGCUAGAGUGCGGUAGGGGCAGAGGGAAUUCCCGGUGUAGCGGUGAAAUGCGUAGAGAUCGGGAAGAACACCAGUGGCGAAAGCGCUCUGCUAGGCCGCAACUGACACUCAGGGACGAAAGCUAGGGGAGCGAAUGGGAUUAGAUACCCCAGUAGUCCUAGCCGUAAACGAUGGAUACUAGGCGUGGCAUGUAUCGACCCGUGCCGUGCCGGAGCUAACGCGUUAAGUAUCCCGCCUGGGGAGUACGCGCGCAAGCGUGAAACUCAAAGGAAUUGACGG
This 564-nucleotide ribosomal RNA is filed under the name uncultured bacterium. RNAcentral's name for it is "bacterial SSU rRNA". It matches the Rfam family "Bacterial small subunit ribosomal RNA", at positions 338 to 916 of the family's 1533-position model. The record is from RNAcentral.